GGGCCUUUAGCUCAUUGGUAGAGUGCUUCAUUGACAUUGAAGAGGCAGUUAGUUCGAUCCUAACAAGGCCCACCA
This 75-nucleotide transfer RNA is filed under the name Candidatus Pelagibacter sp. Its description in RNAcentral is "tRNA-Val". It matches the Rfam family "tRNA". From Rfam's summary of the family: Transfer RNA (tRNA) molecules are approximately 80 nucleotides in length. Their secondary structure includes four short double-helical elements and three loops (D, anti-codon, and T loops). The record is from RNAcentral. Lineage: Bacteria; Pseudomonadati; Pseudomonadota; Alphaproteobacteria; Candidatus Pelagibacterales; Candidatus Pelagibacteraceae.